CCUACGGGCGGCAGCAGUCGAGAAUCAUUCACAAUGGGGGAAACCCUGAUGGUGCGACGCCGCGUGGGGGAAUGAAGGUCUUCGGAUUGUAAACCCCUGUCAUGUGGGAGCAAAUUAAAAAGAUAGUACCACAAGAGGAAGAGACGGCUAACUCUGUGCCAGCAGCCGCGGUAAUACAGAGGUCUCAAGCGUUGUUCGGCAUCACUGGGCGUAAAGGGUGCGUAGGCUGUUUCGUAAGUCGUGUGUGAAAGGCGCGGGGCCAACCCGCGGACGGCAAAUGAUACUGCGAGACUAGAGUAAGGGCGGGGGAACCGGAAUGCUCGGUGGAGGAGUGAAAAGCGGAGA
RNAcentral lists this ribosomal RNA (345 nucleotides) under uncultured bacterium. Its description in RNAcentral is "partial 16S ribosomal RNA". It matches the Rfam family "Bacterial small subunit ribosomal RNA", at positions 338 to 694 of the family's 1533-position model. The record is from RNAcentral.